CACCGCCCGUCGCUACUACCGAUUGAAUGGUUUAGUAAGGUCCUUGGAUCGGCGUCAUUGUGGCGAUUGCCGGAAGGUCAUUGCCCUGCAGUCGCUGAGAAGACGACCAAACUUGAUCAUUUAGAGGAAGUAAAAGUCGUAACAAGGUUUCCGUAGGUGAACCUGCGGAAG
Molecule: non-coding RNA, 171 nt
Organism: Echinococcus granulosus
Lineage: Eukaryota; Metazoa; Platyhelminthes; Cestoda; Cyclophyllidea; Taeniidae
Source: Rfam